CCUACGGGAGGCAGUAGUGAGGAAUAUUGGUCAAUGGACGAGAGUCUGAACCAGCCAAGUAGCGUGAAGGAUGACUGCCCUAUGGGUUGUAAACUUCUUUUAUAUGGGAAUAAAAUGUUCCACGUGUGGGAUUUUGUAUGUACCAUAUGAAUAAGGAUCGGCUAACUCCGUGCCAGCAGCCGCGGUAAUACGGAGGAUCCGAGCGUUAUCCGGAUUUAUUGGGUUUAAAGGGAGCGUAGGUGGAUUGUUAAGUCAGUUGUGAAAGUUUGCGGCUCAACCGUAAAAUUGCAGUUGAAACUGGCAGUCUUGAGUACAGUAGAGGUGGGCGGAAUUCGUGGUGUAGCGGUGAAAUGCUUAGAUAUCACGAAGAACUCCGAUUGCGAAGGCAGUUCACUGGACUGCAACUGACACUGAGGCUCGAAAGUGUGGGUAUCAAACAGGAGUAGAUACCCCAGUAGUC
RNAcentral lists this ribosomal RNA (460 nucleotides) under uncultured bacterium. RNAcentral describes it as "partial 16S ribosomal RNA". It matches the Rfam family "Bacterial small subunit ribosomal RNA", at positions 338 to 795 of the family's 1533-position model. The record is from RNAcentral.